GGCGUGCUUAACACAUGCAAGUCACGGGGGCCCAGCAAUGGGCAACCGGCGAACGGGCGCGUAACACGUGAGCAACCUACCGAAAUGAGGGGGAUAGCCGGCCCAACGGCCGGGUAAUACCGCAUACGCUCGAGACCAGGCAUUUGGACUCGAGGAAACCUCCGGGGCAUUUCGAGGGGCUCGCGGCCUAUCAGCUAGUUGGUGAGGUAACGGCUCACCAAGGCUACGAUCAGUAUCCGGCCUGAGAGGGCGGACGGACACACUGGGACUGAGACACGGCCCAGACUCCUACGGGAGGCAGCAGUGGGGAAUUGUUCGCAAUGGGCGCAAGCCUGACGACGCAACGCCGCGUGGAGGAUGAAGAUUUUCGGAUCGUAAACUCCUGUCGAGUGGGAAGAACAGCUUCUGGGCGAAUAUCCCGGAAGCCUGACGGUACCACUAAAGGAAGCCCCGGCUAACUCCGUGCCAGCAGCCGCGGUAAUACGGGGGGGGCAAGCGUUGUUCGGAAUUACUGGGCGUAAAGGGCUCGUAGGCGGCCAACUAAGUCGGACGUGAAAUCCCCAGGCUCAACCUGGGAACUGCGUCUGAUACUGGAUGGCUUGAAUUCGGGAGAGGGAUGCAGAAUUCCAGGUGUAGCGGUGAAAUGCGUAGAUAUCUGGAGGAAUACCGGUGGCGAAGGCGGCAUCCUGGACCGACAUUGACG
Molecule: ribosomal RNA, 703 nt
Filed under: uncultured soil bacterium
Lineage: Bacteria
Description: bacterial SSU rRNA
Rfam family: Bacterial small subunit ribosomal RNA
Source: RNAcentral